Molecule: unclassified non-coding RNA, 220 nt
Filed under: uncultured Actinomycetes bacterium
Lineage: Bacteria; Bacillati; Actinomycetota; Actinomycetes
Description: uncultured actinobacterium contains 16S-23S intergenic spacer region
Rfam family: Bacterial small subunit ribosomal RNA
Source: RNAcentral
AGGGCUUGACAUGCCGGGUGAAGCUGGUGAAAGCCAGUGCCUCUUCGGGGGCCGGCACAGGUGCUGCAUGGCUGUCGUCAGCUCGUGCCGUGAGGUGUUGCCUUAAGUGGCGCAACGAGCGCAACCCCUGUUCCAUGUUGCCAGCGGGUAAUGCCGGGGACUCAUGGGAGACUGCCGGUGUCAAACCGGAGGAAGGUGGGGAUGACGUUUCCAGGUUAGG